RNAcentral lists this non-coding RNA (21 nucleotides) under Caenorhabditis elegans. Lineage: Eukaryota; Metazoa; Nematoda; Chromadorea; Rhabditida; Rhabditidae. The record is from RNAcentral.
UGGUUGUAUUUUGACCUAUUU